UACAGAGGUCUCAAGCGUUGUUCGGAAUUACUGGGCGUAAAGGGCGCGUAGGCGGUGUGUCAAGUCAGGCGUGAAAGCCCCGGGCUCAACCUGGGAACCGCGCCUGAGACUGGCACGCUCGAGUUCGGGAGAGGAUGGUGGAAUUCCCAGUGUAGAGGUGAAAUUCGUAGAUAUUGGGAAGAACACCGAUGGCGAAGGCAGCCUUCUGGACCGACACUGACGCUGAGGCGCGAAAGCGUGGGGAGCAAACAGG
RNAcentral lists this ribosomal RNA (253 nucleotides) under uncultured bacterium. Its description in RNAcentral is "partial 16S ribosomal RNA". It matches the Rfam family "Bacterial small subunit ribosomal RNA", at positions 524 to 776 of the family's 1533-position model. The record is from RNAcentral.